Molecule: long non-coding RNA, 4477 nt
Filed under: Sus scrofa (pig)
Lineage: Eukaryota; Metazoa; Chordata; Mammalia; Artiodactyla; Suidae
Description: lncRNA (ENSSSCG00005030409.1)
Source: RNAcentral
UUGAGACUCUUGUUUCUCAAGUUCAGUUCUUUUUAAAGCUACUCAGAAAACAAUUCCCAAGGGGAAAUCAGCUCUUGAUAGACCCUCAAGGAUUAAAGUAGCAUAGACCAACCUUCAGACCUACUGCAUUUUUGUCAUUUCUGGCUCUUGCCUAUGUUUAUAUUCCUCUUUUAGAUUCCCUUUUCAUUGGUACUGUGGUGUCUUGUGGAUCAAAUGACAGCAAGAGUAUAGGUUCUAUUCUUUCACUAUGAAGGCCUUUGAAGAAGGAAUCCUGGGGAGUAAGAGUUGGUCAGUUUCCUUAUUGCCGUCUACCUUUCUGCAUAAGGCUUUCAAUUACACAGAAAACUCAAGGAAGAGCUUAGGACACUAUUCACAUUUUCCCAAGUUGAUGGGACAGGCAGACGAAUGAUAGUAAAGUCCUUGGACAUUGCCACAUUCAUUGCCAAGGUUUUCUAAACUAGAAGGGGCUUCUCCAACAUCUCCAAGGAUUCUUCCCAUAAAGCACUGGUAAUAUGUCUCAGGAUGCAGUACGCCUGUCAUCACCAUCUGUGAAGAGGAGACUCAAAAUGCUGACCGAAGCAAUUAUCCAGACUUGUCAUCUCUCUCCAGCAUUGGCACAAUCCCUGAAUAAGCUGCUUUCAAUCAGCUACUGUGCAGCCCUAAAGACAUGUUACAGAGGCAAUGGGAGUUUCUUCCUGCAGUAAAAACAGUAGUCUCUUGAUCGGAGAAAAAUACAAGAAAUUACAUGAACAGUCUGGAUACAUCUCUCAGAAGUUUGUAUAAACAUAUUUACAAUUAUUUGAGGACCAGAAUUGUGGUACUUCUGAAUAGAUGUGGAUGUGAAUAGAAACAGUUAUAAUCCAAAGCCAGUACAUGAGGUCAUGGCAUUAUGGGUGGCGGUUGAGGGGCUGUGUUAGAGUCAUUGCCCACUACUGAUGGUGCAGAAGUAUGAAUGGUUUGUAGAUUUGGCUUUAGGAUCAUCUUUUCCUGAAGAUCUGCUUAGGGAGAUGAGAUAUGAGGAUUCUAUAAAAUUGGCCUCUGGGGAAGCUCUUUCAGCUCAAAAAAUUAUGAAUAUCUUUACAACACUCAGAAGCCGUUCUGCAUACACAAUAAUUCGCGGGAAAUAUGGAGCCAGCCACAUAUAGCAGAGAUCCUUAGGAGAAUGUCUUUACUUGGAAGGAGACUAAAAUAACAGCACCAGCUUACACCAGUGAUGACCAUUUAUAAUGCGAAGGAGAGUCCUUGGAGAUGCAGAAAUGAAAGCCAUCAGUACAUGCUGCUCCCUUGUAGCCUUCCUGACAAAUGAUUGCUAAUAGUAAUAAGGGAAAAAAGAGACCAGCCUCUGCUGGGGGCGCCAAAAUGGCUUGGGAAUCCAUGGGGGCGGGGGGUGUUUGUUAAGUAUUAUCCCCUUUGCCAAGACUACCCUUGCGACAUGGUGAAAAAUUAGGCGAUAGAUCAGGUCAUGGGUACCAACUUUUCACUCUGGGCACCCUUGGGGAAGACAUCCAGGGGUGAGACUAAUUCAUUAAUCUCCUUUCAGCUUUCCACCAUUACUCACAGGCUUUACAGAGAAUGCUCUGGUUUUUUUUUUUUUUUUUUUUUUUUUUUUUUUUUUCUGGAAACAGUGGAGCUCUAUUUACAUCAGAAGGGACAUCAAGUACCACAACAAUCACUAAAAAUGAAAUCCUACAGCUCAGCCUGCCAACCAGCAUGGAAAGUGUACAGCUGUAAGUGAGCUUCACAAGGCAAGUCACGCACAAGGGAGGGAAGACAGCAAGAAGCCAAAAUAGCUUAUGGAUAGCAUGAGAAAGGGGGCCGACUGAGAACGGCAGGCGACAAAACCUAAAAAGACUCACAAAAGAGAAAUCUCUGGCUUAGCUCUCUAGAAGCAGACAGACAGAAAGAAGAGGAAGAGAGAGGCCACACUGGGUGUGCAAGGGCAGUGUCUUACCCAGAGGUAAGAUCUGCCGAGGGCCUGCACCUGCAAAGGCAGGGUCACAGCUAUUUGAACCCAGGGUGUAAAGGUCCCCUGGGUUACAUAUCAAACUUGAUAGCUGUAUUUGUGACUCUCACUGUCAUCUGUGUCGUGGUUAAUAUAACAGGCAAGAAGCUAAAGAGUUGCAUAGACAUCUUAAAUAUUAAAGCUAUACAAACACCACUCUCAACACAAGAUCACAACCAUAAACAUUUCAGAAAAGGUUAUCUAAAUGCUCUGUGUAUUGUUAUUUUCAUAUACGCUGACACCUCCAUGUAGGCAAUAAAAAAUGGGAAAACGCAUUUAAACCAUGAUUAGUGUCUGCCCUUCUCUGCUAUUCUAUUAGCUUGUGUGGCCUCUAUCCUCAUAUAUCUGAGAGACUGAACACUUCAAAACAGUGCAAGUAUGAAGGAUAUGAUGGUGUGUUUAUAGGCUGCACACACACAGACCCUCUUUUUAAAAAAUCUGAGCCCAUCCAAACCUUGUGGGAAUUCUUGCUUCUCAAAAGAUCUUACAGUACUUAAUCUCUAUUCAUGUGAAACAAGAAACGGUGUCCUUCUCAUUUUAUUCCGAAGCCAUCUUUAAUGCCAAAUGGAUAUGGGGGAAGUUGACAUUUACUCAGAAUUAUUAUUCAAUCAAAGUUCUAUUUUCUUCUUAUGAUGAUUUCAUUUGUCAGAGCAGUUUUAAUGCAAAGCUUGUGAUCAGGUUUUUUUUUUUCUCUUAAACAAUUGGCGCUACCAUCUGUGUCACCUGAGGCUCCUUUUUGUUGAUUAUUUUGCAUGUAAUAUGACACGACGAAAACAUAAAUAACUUGAGCUUUGUUUUGCAGGCAGAGAACACUUCAGACACUUGCGUGGUGCCAGAAUACCGAUUCCGGAGAAGCUGAGGCAACAUAAUAUUCUUCCCAGAAAAACAUGCCACUUUUUUUUUUCAUCCUCUCUUUAAAAUUCUUUGUUUAGUUUGAUUAGAGUUCCACAUCAGAGGCAUUUUCUAGGGCAUGGGACCUGCCUGCUUGGGAACUCCCCACUGUGCUUAUGUAAGCCCUGUUCACCCAGUCUGAGCUGCUGGAGCUCAGAACAACUCUAGGGCAUUUUUGUUUUCUGUUUUAUAUCUCGUUUGUUCUUUCCCUUUGUUCUCGUUCAUUCAGAGGAAGGUGUGUGCUAAUGCCAACUUGUUAGAAGUGUACCCAGCAGGAGAAGGAAAUGAGCUGUUUGGAUUCUUUAAAAUAGUUCUUGCUUAUUUGCCCAGGGCUUUAGAUUACAAUUAGAUGGUAGUCUUUCCAUCGACAUAAGGGGCUCACUCCUCAAAGAGCUUAGGUCAGAGAUUUCAGUUGCUCAGUGAACACCAAUAGACUUUGAUGGUUUGCCCCAACUCUCUGGUAAUUAGCUCAUACCCCACCUCCCCUGCCUGGUAAAAAUGUUUCUUGUCUCUUCUUUCUACAACAGGGCUAUCUUCAAAAAAAAAAAUAGAUACGUUGGAGAUUGACUGACUCUGAAAUUUUGUUUGGAAAAUGCUGGAUUCUGGCAUGAGUUGUAUUUCCUAUCUUGCUUCUCUCUACUCUCUGGCCUUGCCUCUUGGAAUAGGUUAAAAGCAAAAGGAAGUGCUGAGCUAAAUUUAUAAUCUGGGAGUACUUUUUAAAGUUAAAUUUUAGAAUAUAGCAUAAGAAAAGGAGCGAAAAUAAAUGAACAUCCUUGCAAAGCAUUUGAAGAGCUAGUAUUUUGGACCGAAGCUCAUGUUUAGCUUAUUGUCCAAUGCAACUUCCAGGUUUAGCCGCUUUUGAUUGAUGCCUUUUGUUUUUACAUGUUUGUGCUCUCUCUGGAACACAAAGAUAGUCUUCCAAGACACUGGAAAGCAUUUCAUGGUGAUAGGAAGGGAACUCCUAUAACAUCUUCUUGUGCCAGAUAAACCAUCCUGAGCCAUUUAUUCUCCUACUUCAAACAUUUUCCCUUCAUAUCCAGAAAAGAGCCCAAUUUUAAGUAGCAGGACUUAGAACAAAGAACCAAUGGAGACAGGGAUUAUGAUUUUCCACAGUUAUUACUCAGAAAGGUUAAGUAUGUUUUACUCAAUUAAGCACAGAUGAGCCCCUGUGCACCACUGGUUUGUAAUAGCCCUAAUUGAUUCUGAGGCGAGAUCUCUGGUCAGAGUCAAGCCAGAUGUAAGCUUUGUUAGUGAUGUUGAUGGAAUGACCCCAGGAAGCUUCAUUUUUAUGGCUUUGAUAUAAAAAAAAAGUCCAAGGAGCUUGCCCAGGCUUCUCUGCUUCCUUAAUUAUAUUUUUGAUAAUUUAUUUUACCAAUUGACUUCUAGCCAGGCCAGGUUAUGUUUGAUCUUGAUGAGGCUGCAGAUUUGCAGGAGAGGAGGAAAUGUCCUUGCUCAUUAUCUUCUAGUCUGGCUUUAUCAGAUCUGUUUUCUGGAAACUGUAUGCAAAUUCUGGUUCUCAGAGGUUUUCUCUAAAAAAAUCACUCCUUCCUUUCUCUCCCUUCUUUUGAAUCAUUUCAUUAGCAU